RNAcentral lists this unclassified non-coding RNA (329 nucleotides) under soil metagenome. RNAcentral's name for it is "partial contains 5.8S ribosomal RNA, internal transcribed spacer 2, and large subunit ribosomal RNA". The stretch from base 1 to 120 matches the Rfam family "5.8S ribosomal RNA", at positions 35 to 154 of the family's 154-position model. The record is from RNAcentral.
GAUGAAGAACGUAGCGAAAUGCGAUAAGUAGUGUGAAUUGCAGAAUUCAGUGAAUCAUCGAAUCUUUGAACGCACAUUGCGCCCCUUGGUAUCCCGAGGGGCAUGCCUGUUCGAGCGUCAUUUCACCACUCAAGCCUGGCUUGGUGUUGGGCGACGUCCUCUUUGGGGACGCGCCUCGAAACGCUCGGCGGCGUGGCACCGGCUUUAAGCGUAGCAGAAUCUUUCGCUUUGGAAGUCGGGGCCCCGUCUGCCGGAAGACCUGCUCGCAAGGUUGACCUCGGAUCAGGCAGGGAUACCCGCUGAACUUAAGCAUAUCAAUAUGCGGAGGA